Molecule: ribosomal RNA, 1387 nt
Filed under: uncultured bacterium
Lineage: Bacteria
Description: bacterial SSU rRNA
Rfam family: Bacterial small subunit ribosomal RNA
Source: RNAcentral
UCUUCAUAUUAUUUAUUAGUAAAUUUGUUGUGGGUCAAAUAGGUGCUGGGAGCGGCGAACGGGUUAGUAACACACAGGUACAUGCCGUCGAGAUGAGGAUAGCCAUCCGAAAGGGUGGGUAAUACUCAAUAGUCUCCGACAUUAUGUUGGAGUAAAGGAGCAAUCCGCUCGGCGAUUGGCCUAUGUCCUAUCAGCUUGUUGGUAAGGUAAUGGCUUACCAAGGCAAUGACGGGUAGGGGGUGUGAGAGCACGGCCCCCAACAUCGGCACUGAGACACUGGCCGGACUCCUACGGGAGGCUGCAGUCGAGAAUCUUCCGCAAUGGGCGAAAGCCUGACGGAGCGACGCUGCGUGCGGGAAGAAGGUCUUCGGAUCGUAAACCGCUUUUCUGUCUGAAUAAGGACGGUUGGAUUUUGUUUUUCACAUUAUUUUAAAGAUAAUUAAUGGUGAAUUAGUAAUAUGUGGAAAAUAAUAUCCAUCCGUUUUGAAAGUAGGGCAGGAAUAAGGGGCCGCUAAACUCGUGCCAGCAGCGGCGGUAAUACGAGUGCCCCAAGCGUUAUCCGGAUUAACUGGGCGUAAAGCGUCUGUAGGCGGCCUAUUAAGUUUUUGGUUAAAUCUUUUGGCUCAACCAAAAGCAUGCCGAAAAAACUGGUAGGCUAGAGGAAAUGAGAGGCUGACGGAACUGGUGGUGUAGGAGUGACAUCCGUUGAUAUCACCAGGAACACCAAAGGCGAAGGCAGUCAGCUGGUAUUUUCCUGACGCUGAGAGACGAAAGCGUGGGGAGCGAAUGGGAUUAGAUACCCAAGUAGUCCACGCCCUAAACGAUGUUGACUAGCUAUUCCGAGUGUCGACCCUCGAAGUGGCGAAGCUAACGCGUUAAGUCAACCGCCUGGGAAGUACGGCCGCAAGGCUAAAACUCAAAGGAAUAGACGGGAGCUCGCACAAGCGGUGGAGCGUCUGGUUUAAUUCGAUGAUAAGCGAGGAACCUUACCGAGACUUGAAAUUCCACUGAAAUCCUGGUGAAAGCCGGGACCUUCGCAAGAACAGUGGAGUCAGGUACUGCAUGGUUGCCGUCAGCUCGUGCCUUGAGGUGUUCCGUUAAGUCGGGUAACGAGCGCAACCCCUGUCGUCUGUUAUAAGUUUCAGACGAGACUGCCCUCGUUAAAGGGGAGGAAGGAGGGGAUGACGUCGAAUCAGCAUGGUCCUUUGAUGUCUCGGGCUACACAGGCGCUACAAUGGUUGGUACAGUGGGUUGCCAAGCGGUAACGCGGAGCUAAUCCCAUCAAAACCAAUCUCAGUCCGGAUUGAGGUCUGCAAUUCGACCUCAUGAAGUUGGAAUCGCUAGUAAUCGCGGAUCAGCUCGCCGCGGUGAAUACGUUCUCGAGCUU